GUGUUAAAGGGUUUCUUUUUCUUUUUUUUGGUUCACUUCUUCGGUUCUGUUUAUUGUUUAUAUAUAAUAUAUAAUAAUAGGUUUUUCAAUACAUGUUUUUCUGAUACAAUAAUAUAUUUAUAUUAAGCAUAUUAAGCAUAUAUAAAUGAAAAUUAUAGGCUUAGCUUAAUAAUUAAGCUUUGCCUAUAAUAAAAUGAAUAGACCACAUCAAAAAUUAAAUAGAUAUGUAAAAAGCUUUAUAUAUAUAUAUAGUUUUAUAUGUACAAAAUUCGUAACACAUAUAUACAU
RNAcentral lists this long non-coding RNA (288 nucleotides) under Sorghum bicolor (sorghum). Its description in RNAcentral is "long non-coding RNA (SBIC_LNC009004)". The record is from RNAcentral. Lineage: Eukaryota; Viridiplantae; Streptophyta; Magnoliopsida; Poales; Poaceae.